CCUACGGGAGGCAGCAGUAGGGAAUCUUCCGCAAUGGACGAAAGUCUGACGGAGCAACGCCGCGUGAACGAUGAAGGCCUUCGGGUCGUAAAGUUCUGUUGUUAGGGAAGAACAAGUGCUAGUUAAAUAAGCUGGCACCUUGACGGUACCUAACCAGAAAGCCACGGCUAACUACGUGCCAGCAGCCGCGGUAAUACGUAGGUGGCAAGCGUUGUCCGGAAUUAUUGGGCGUAAAGCGCGCGCAGGCGGUUUCUUAAGUCUGAUGUGAAGGCCCCCGGCUCAACCGGGGAGGGUCAUUGGAAACUGGGAAACUUGAGUGCAGAAGAGGAAAGUGGAAUUCCAAGUGUAGCGGUGAAAUGCGUAGAGAUUUGGAGGAACACCAGUGGCGAAGGCGACUUUCUGGUCUGUAACUGACGCUGAGGCGCGAAAGCGUGGGGAGCAAACAGGAUUAGAUACCCUGGUAGUCCACGCUGUAAACGAUGAGUGCUAAAGUGUUAGAGGGUUUUCCGCCCUUUAGUGCUGAAGUUAACGCAUUAAGCACUCCGCCUGGGGAUACGGUCGCAAGACUGAAACUCAAAUGAAAUUGACGGCUGAGACGNGCGAGACGACACGAGGGAGGAGG
RNAcentral lists this ribosomal RNA (622 nucleotides) under uncultured bacterium. Its description in RNAcentral is "bacterial SSU rRNA". It matches the Rfam family "Bacterial small subunit ribosomal RNA", at positions 338 to 951 of the family's 1533-position model. The record is from RNAcentral.